AAUAGAUGUUGGGAUUGUGUGGCAGAGCAGAGGGGAGGAAAGGACCCACGAAAGCCAAUACCUCAACGGACUAUUUGAAAUGGUUUGACUAUAACAGGAUACAUGGAUACAAACUGGCAGCUCUAUAGCCUACAUAACCAUACCUGACAUAACCCUACACAAGCACACCCUGAGCAACAAACACCAACACUCAAGCAGCACAAACCAGCGACUUCCAAUCGACUCAAAAUCAAUAGAAGUUUGCCAUCACCCAGCCGGCCAAAUGCUAGAAUUCAUAACGUUUUCAAGUCAAAUCUGCGAACAUGGCAAAGACAGGACCAAGACAUGGGACACACAAUAUGAAAUGAGAAAUCCAUCACACAUUCUACGUGACAUUCGACUGUCUUGCAGGAAUGUGACACUACGGAGGAUAUAAAAAUGAAAAUAAUAAUCUGUAAUAGAAAGACGAUCAGGCAUUUGUGCACUAUCAUCUCUUUGUCUUUGCUUUCUGCCUGUGAACGGCCACUCAAUGAGGAAAUAAUGAUGAUGAAAAACACCUCCGCCAAGAUACUUAACCGGAAACAUUGAAGUCCAGGAUAUUAAAAAGGAAAUUAACACGACAUCAAAGACCUGAGUUAGGACACUUAAUCAGAAAUAAUGAAGUGAAUUAAAGAAGAAUAUCAUUAGGAUAUCAAACAACUAAACCAAGAUGCCAAAACAGAAACAUUUACGUGCGCAACAUAAAAAGAAAAUCACUGAGACGCCAAACACCUGCGUCAAGAUACAUACAGGAUCAGAAAUUACGAGUAAAUAUAAAAGAAGAAGAUUAUCAAAACAUAAAACGCCCAUCUUAAGUUAUGUGUGUGUAAUCAGAAACAUUCCAGUCAUGUGUCGUGAGUCAUCAGUCCUUGCCAAGCAGACAGGUGCACCACAGAGCACACAAAGGGAAGGGCAGCAAGCGGCAAGAAGAAAAUACACAAAAAUACAUAAGGGGAUAAAUUGUUAGUGAGAAGCCAGAAAAAAAAAUAUAUCUUCCACUACACCAACUCUUUGUUUAUGAGAAAAAUAUUUUACUCUCGUGACAAAAACUUCGCCACAAGUCAUUUAAUAAGCUUUCCCAGACCCUCCGAGGCAUUACCACACCCACUACGCCACCACAGUUGCCACACCAACACACUAUAGUACAGGAGCUUAUCACCAGAUUUCUCAAACGUUGUACUAGCCUUCAUUGACAAUGAUGUGGCUGAUUUGUCUUUUUCAACCUGUUUUUCAAGGAGUGAUAAGUUGGUUUUGUUGAUUUUUUUUUCUAUAUCAUUUUCUACGACUGAGUUUGUAACAUGUUGACUUAGAUCCAUGAAAACCCAACACUUCUAACUACUGUAACUCAGGGCUGUAUUACAAGUCGAAUCCCAGAAGUUUUGUAGUGCCGCGACUAGGCCUGAUAAGGGAGCCUCCCAUAACCCACUUGGCGAGUGGGGUACCUCUUUGGCCGACUCGGUAAGGAGUGGCUCUCCCAUCACGCUGGUCGCGGGUUCAAUCCCAGGCAGCUGGCGAAUACCUUGAUCUUGAUCGAUACACGCAGAGGGCAUGUUGGGAAAUAGAGGAAAUAGAAAAAUAUGCUCUCGGGGCAUGACAGUUUCAGGUCCCAACAGAGUUCGGGUUUGAAUAACUCUGUAGGGACCUGAAACUUCACGGAUUCGACUUGUAAUACGGCCCUUAAACCAAAACUGGAAUUAGAAAGACAAACAAGCCACAUAACCAUUGAUGAAUACUAGUGCGACGUAAAAACAAAUCUGGCGUACGUGUUAGUGGUGAUGUUUACAAUGUUUAUUCUGCAUCCGCUGGGGAGUUUGUGUGUUAAGGUGACCAGCUUCAGCGGGGAGCCUUGUAAACCAGAGGUGGAAAUGGGAAAGCAGAUGAAUGAUGAUAUAAACACUGUCAGGUAGGAAAGUGAAGAUGUACAAGGGAAAUAUAAGGUAGGAAAGUGAAUAUGUAUACAUGGGAAGAAUAAGGUAGGAAAGUGAAUAUGUAUACAUGGGAAAAAUAAGGUAGGAAAGUGAAUAUGUAUACAUGGGAAGAAUAAGGUAGGAAAGUGAAUAUGUAUACAUGGGAAAAAUAAGGUAGGAAAGUGAAUAUGUAUACAUGGGAAAAAUAAGGUAGGAAAGUGAAUAUGUAUACAUGGGAAAAAUAAAGUCAUGUAUGUGUAGAUAGAUCAAACAAAUGCAAGAAAAGAAAAACUGAGGUCAUGUGUAAGAAGAAGGAUGGACAGGUAGCCCAAUACAGGUACAGGUAAAAUAUUAGGUAAGUGGAAAGGUGAAUAAGUUUAUGAAAGAAAAAAUAGUGCACAGACAGGUAGGUGGAGGCAAACACUGUACAGGUAUUUGAGUGGACAGGUAGAAAAGGAGAAAUUAAUCAACUUAUAAACAGGUAAAAAUAUAGGAAAAGAACAGUGUAAACAAAUAGGCUGGGAAGCAGAUAAAAAAAAAAACUUAGUGCACAGGUGGACAAGUGGAGAUGAACUAUGAACUGGAAGACAGAAGAGCAGGUAAGAAGGAGAAAUUAAUCAACUCAGGUGCAAGUGAAUCAGUAGGGAAAGGGAAAGGUGAGCAAAUUAAUAGGAAAACAGGUGAGAAAAUUAUGUUCACAGGUGGGCAGGUGGAGGAAAUAUUUGACAGGUAGAUGAGUGGGCAGGUAACAAGAAAUCAAUCAACUCAGGUGCAUGUGAAAGAGAAAGUGAGUGAAAAAUACAGGUGAAAAAAUGUGCACAGGUGUAUAGGUGAAGGAAAACACUGAACAGGUAGGUGAGUGGGCAGGUAACAAGAAAUUCAUUAACUCAGGUGCAUGUGAAAGAGAAAGUAAAUGGAUAAACAGGUGAGAAAACAAUAUGUGCACAGGUGUAUAGGUGGAGGAAAACACUGAACAGGUAGGUGAGUGGGCAGGUAACAAAUCAAUAAACUCAGGUGCAUGUGAAAGAGAAAGUAGGUGGGAAAACAGGUGAGAAAGUGUGCACAGUGGAGGAAAAUACUUAACAGGUAGGUGAGUGCACAGGUAACGAGAAAUCAGCUCAGGUGUAUUUGGAAGAGAAAGUAAGUGGAAAAAACAGGUGAAUCAAAAGUCUGUGCACAGGUGAGAUGGAGAUGAUUAAAUAAAAGAAUGAGCAGGUGAGGAGAAAUUAAUCAACCCAGGUGGAAAUGAAAAAAAGGUAGGCAAGUUGGUGGGGAAACAGGUGAAUAAUAUUUGUACACAGGUGAGGUGAUGAGUAAAUAGGUGAGUGAGCAGGUAGACAACAGUGAAAUUCAUGACACCUCAGCCACCCAAGGUCACAGGGAAAGAGAGGAAGCAUUGAGUUCCUUUAUUAUAGUACAUUACUCGGCUCAUGAAGUACUAUUUAUAUUACACACACACACACACACACACACACACACACAUGCCAGGGCUGCCAAGGGUGAGGUUUCUCCGCCUAUUGAAUCUAUAUUUUUGUUGACGUUCUGCCGAAAAUACUCGUAAAGUCGCUGGUUAUGGAUUUUAUGGAGUAGCCACGAUGUUAUUUAAUUCUAGAGAUGAGUCAAAUUACGUAUACAUAAAAAUUUUGUGGUUAUCUCAUGAGGGUCAGUUUUAAUUUUUCUUUCGUUCUUUCUUUCUUUCUUUUUUGCAUUGAGGGUGUUUUGAUUUUUCUUUCGUUCUCUCUUUCUUUCUUUUCUGCAUUAAGGGUCAGUUUUAAUUUUUCUUUCGUUCUUUCUUUCUUUCUUUUUUGCGUGGAGGUCAGCGGGAAAUUCUCACAGUCUUAGCAGCCCCGACACACACUUGCUGCAGAGGUGAGGGAAGUAAGGGAAUGCAGGAGGGAGAACUCUCUAAGGUUAGGCACACUGAUUCCUUCCUUCCUUCCUUCUCAGCUGGUGUUAUGGGCCCAUAUUCUCAAACAUCUCAGGACUUACACACGCCCACAUUUGGCAAGACUCUCAUAGGUUGUGGGUAUUUCCAAGGGUAGUUUUGAGAGCCUAGCGAUUGUUCGAUAAGGAUUCUGUACCAUGAGGAAGAAAAAACUCAUGAGAACCCAAUUAGUCUCCUUAGUGGCCUUUGGAGGUAUUUGUUGUGAGAGCCGAGAGAGUCUGAGAACAUGGGCCGAAGAGUUCUGCCUUCUCAGUGACAUCAGCAGAAGGAAAGGUUUUGAAUCAAGACACUUCUGGCGCUGAGUUAGAGCAUUCUGUGUUGGCAUCUGUUGUACUAGUGUGGGAGAAUUGUGUUACGGGCAUUUAUCUCUUAUAUAUCUCUUGUUUGGCCCUUGGUCUGUCUCCCUUACCAUAGGAACUAGUAAUAAAUAUGGGGAUGCAAUAUACAGAUGAUAAUUUAAAGGGGAAAAUAUCAACAAGAUGUGAAAUAUGAACAUUGCAAGAGGAUACAAAUAAAAAUAACUUUGAAAUUUUGAAAACUGUAGUUGGAGCUGAAUUUAUAUAAUUAGAUGAUAGUUCAACAGAAAAUAAGUAACAAUAGAGCUGAACAGGGACACUAUAAAGGGGGGAAAGUUAAUAUGCAGCUCAUUGAAAUUUUGAGACAAGCAACCUAGUGAAAAAUUGAAGCCAGGUUACACAAAACAGAAAUGUCUUGGAAAAAAAGGAAUAACAAUAAUUCAAAAAAAUUUAAUCUUUAGUCAGAAAAUUCACUAGAGAAAUGAAUCCACAUUACACAAAACAGGGAAGUCUUGAAGGAGGAAACUUAGAGAACCCCACCAAUGUGCAUCUAGGCAAAGGUCUACAGGGAGUGGGGGCCAAAAAGCUAUCUUAGGGGACACCUGCAGUGCCUUGCCCCACCCCAGUCAUGGCAUAUGUACAAUACAGCACCAGGGCAAGGCUUGUAAUGCUCGCCAAUUGCUACGCAUCAUUCAAAGUACACGAAUUCACAUCAGGAAAAAGUAACCCUGGAAAUCCAAAUUGGGGCAUGGAAGUGAAAUGGUUAAUAUGAUGUUAUACUAUCAACCAGUAUUUUGACAGAGAAGUUCCGAUUUGUUCAAAGUUUGGUGAAUAUAUAAGUUGGCACUUUUUACUUUGUGCCAUUCAGUUUUUUUUAAUCCAGGGGCCACACAAUUUUAUGUUCACUGAAGUAAGCCAGUUUUUUUAUCAGUUAUUUUUAUUUUACUCUGGUCUUCAGCUUCUACUAUUCAAGACCUACCAGCCCUACUAGAUAUCUUUUCAACAGUUCAGCCCAAUUAUCAUGAGUAUCUUUCCUUGCUGAUACGAGAACAAAUUUGAAUGAUGCACACAAUUUAGCGAACAUAGGGCGUUGGUAACACUGGCCCCUGCACACACUAUACAAGGUGGCAGGAAGGUGGCAACACUGGCCCCUGCACACACUAUACCAAGGAACUGAGUGAGGAAUGUGGGAGUAUAGUGGAUGCAAGUGCGAAUGAGAGAAAAUAAAUAGUGCUCUGCCCGACACCCAUGAAGAAUAUAAAAGGAAGUUAAGGCAUCAAUAAAUACAGAAAAAGCAAUAUGUACAUUACUCUACGUGGAGAAACACAGCAAGCGAAAUACUACGGAAAGACACAAGAGAUACAAGAAUAUGAUCUACACAUUAGAAAAUAAAAUAUACGACUUCCUACUGCAUAAUAAAAGAGGAAUCUAUAUAUACAAAAAAAUGAAUCUACCCUCUUGAAAAUAGAAUAAUGUCACUUACUCCAUAAGAAAACUAGAUACAAGAAUAGAGUCUACAUUUCAGAAAACAAAAAAUACAGCUAUCUAUUAUCACUGCCAUAGGAGGGAAAAAAUAUAUAACAGAGAUCAGAAGGAAAUUUGAGUCCAAGUCAUGAAGGAUAAACAAUAAAUAAGAACACAGUGAAAUAAAUAAAAAUAACCUACCGUCCUUAAGCUAAAACAUAUGGUAUACCGAGAUAAAAACGUACUGAUUGGCAACUAACGUGAGUAUCCUAAGGAGGAACACGUGGAAAAUUGGAGAUUACAAUAGCAUAAUACUGAUGUUAGUUUUUUCUUUUCAUUUUUGUUGUAUGUAGAGUGGGAGUAUAGCGUCCAUGUGUUUCCCAGUAUGUGUGCGUGUGUCUGUGUGUGUAUCUUGUGUGUGCGUCCAGGAAUGACAAAAUGAUACCCUAAAAACAUACUAUCAUUCUACCUUAAAAAAAAACUACGACUAUUACAUUAAACAACUAUCUAAAAUCUUCAUUAGCUAAACCACUUCCUCCUCCAUCAAUGGCACACACACCUCAAUGCCCCAAAUAUGCAUGAAAAUCGACAAUCUAAUAUCUUUUUUCAACACAUGUCGAGAAAAAAAAGGCUACAGGCAAUCUAAUAUCUUUUUCUACACAUCUCUCGACUAAAAAAGGCAACAGGUUCACUAGAUCUACGGAAGCUAUUUGGAUACUUUUAUGUGACUGUCAACACUAUUUACCACCUCAAACACAAACACUCAUAAAUCACUUAUUUUUCUACACACACACACUCACACUCAUCGUCUCUCUUAGUCCAUGCAUUUGUGUUUACUCUUGAUUUACCUUCCUUCUAUUCUACCAAAGGAAGGUUCAAUCACUAUCUUCUACUACAGUACUUAUAUCACUUUCCUCUUUUCUAUUACAUCUAUCAGUCAAUUCAUUUCCCAUAUCAAAGGCACCUAAUAUUACUCCGUUCCUUUGGUCUUUGCACAUGUAUCUAUUCUAACGCUAAUACCAGCUGAUUUGUAUUAUGUCAUGGGUCGGCUCUCACUAUUAACUUCUUUUUGUUUAAUGUCCUUAUUUCCUACUUCUGACAUACAUAUACACAUACUCUAUCCUCCCUAAUGCUAGUCCUUCUCAUAUCUUUCUCCAUAUAAUCAUCUCCACAUCUCGCAUCACCACCAUACACCCUCACACAUUCUCACCACACCACCAAACAUCACUACAACCCUUGCCAUCCACUCUCUCCACCCCCACACACCUUCCACACAUGACCACAUACCUUGCUGUCCACUCUCUCCACCCACAUGCCCUCCACAUAUCACCACAACCCUUGCCAUCCACUCUCUCCACCACCACAUGUCACCACCCAUCAUGAAGGCUUGAGGACACACCACAUUUGCACAUAAGUUAUCACAGUUUUCAGGAAUGGCACAUGACCUCAAGACACUCCCUCACACUCACACACUCAUGAAUACUUAUUAGGAUUUCCGACUUUAUCUAUACAAGUUUCCUAUGCUGUCAGUCUCCCCUAUACCUUCAUCUCUGCUUCCUCAUUCUUCAAAAUAAUGAUUCCUCACACGAUGACACCCACACACACACUCAUGAAUACCUAAGACUUUUUUCUAUCUACACUUUCUUCUUCAGAGCUUCUUCCUAUCAACACAAGGUUCUGAUGUUGGCAGUCCCUCUAUUUCCAUCACCAUAUUCCUGUUUCCUCUCUUCCUUUAAAUUAUCAAUGAUUCCUCUUUUUCCUCUUUAUAUAUAUGUACAUUCAUUAAGUACUCUCCCUACAUGCCUUCAUCCCCAUAUCCUUCUAUAUCUCUCCCUCUAAACUCUCAUUAAUUCCUUGGUAUCUCUUUAUAUAUACAUACAUUCACUAAGUCCUCUCCCUAAAUGCCUUCAUCCCCAAAUCCUUCUUUAUCUCUCCCUCUAAACUCUCAUUAAUUCCUUGGUAUCUCUUUAUAUAUACAUACAUUCACUAAGUCCUCUCCCUAUAUGCCUUCAUCCCCAAAUCCUUCUUUAUCUCUCCUUCUAAACUCUCAUUAAUUCCUUGGUAUCUCUUUAUAUAUACAUACACUCACUAAGUCCUCUCCCUAUAUGCCUUCAUCCCCAUAUCCUUUCUCUCUUCCUCAAAACUCUCAAUCAUUCCUCCCUGUAUCUCUUUGUGUAUACGUAAAUUCACAAAGUCUUCUACACUAUUACCUAAGUUCUCACUACAUCCUUCACCCUUCAGUUUGAGGUAACACGGUAUAUUAUGCAAGGAAUGAGUCACCGUAUGUGAGUAUAGGAGUGAAGAGUGAAAGAGAAACAAAGAUUUUUCGCACACACCUAAAUGGGAAGUCAGGAAAUAUUACAGCUCACCAGAUUAAAUGAAACUAUCUCGUCCUGGAAAUGUGGAGAAACCAUGUAAGUAAUAUAAUGCAAAAAACUGGAAACAAAAAAGAAAAUAUAAGGAGAGGAAUGAAGUGAAUUUGGGACGUUUCAGAAAAAAAAAUUACACCAUUGAUAAACAAAACUGUGGUGAGAUGUGGCUCAAGAAAAUACCAAAGAGCAAGAUGGAAAAUAAAAAACAGACAUGUCAAAACAAAAUAAAACACACUGGAACAAAACAUAAGCCCACACGAGCAAAAAUAAAAAUAGAAACAAUAUAUAGUCAGUACACACCAAGUCACGGCAGCACUUACACACAUGGAAAAUUAGAACGUAAAGAAGAAAUAAUUACAAUAAACACUGGUGCUGCAUAUUCACAGUAGUGGUGGUGGCGGUGGUGAUGAGAGUGGAGGUAGUGGUGACAGAAAAAUUAGUGAUAAUAAGGCUAGGCUAAGGUAGAUCGGGUUAGUGGAGUGUUUAGUAAGUUUAGUUAAGUUUACGUACACGAGUUUAAUACUGAGAAGUCCCGUUGUUUGCCAGUAGAGGCGGGGAAGGCAACCAGAAGAGUUACGAAGGUUUGUGAUUGCACUGUUAAUUAAGAUUCACCUCCUCUUACUUACAUGCCAGAGAUAAAGGACGGUGAAAAGGGGAGUACGAGAAUGAUAGAAUACUCGGCCAGAAGAAAACCUUGUCGCCAGUUAGAAUGAAGGACUAUAAACAUUAAUGCAAGAAGAUUUUAGGAGAGAUUUUAUACAAGAGAGAUUUCGACCCAAGUUAGAAUGAGGACUUUUUAACCCGGUAGCUGUGGGGAUCAUGUUUCUUAAGGGCCCCUCUAAGCGAGAAAAAUGAGAAAAAAUCAUCACUCUCACAAACCACUCUAUAAUAUAUAUCAAAGCAUUUGUGAUCAGUUUAUGCAUCAUCUAUUUGGGGGGAUUUAUAUCAUAGCAAAAAUGUGGCUUGUCGCUGCUACCAGGAUAAACUUUUAUAUAUAUGAAGAUUUGAGGGGAGAAAGAUGUUAUGCAAGUGAGAUUUUAAACUAAGUAAAAAUGAGAGAUGUUUAAACUUAUAUACAUGAAGAUCUUACACGAGAUCGACUUUCUACAAGAGAGUUUCAACCCGAAAAACUUCAACCAUUCAUCAUACUCUUACUGGAAGGUGUGGCGGGAAUUAUCAAACCACAAAUUGCACUGCCCUUAGCCUUCCUUGUGGCCGAACACCACAAUAUUAGGUAAGGACAGGUAAGGGCAGGUGGGUUGACAUAAGGGACUGUUAGGGAUGAGAAGGGAAGGGGAAGAAAAAGAGGUAUGAGGCAAGGGAAGGGACUGGAAGGGAAAGGAAGGGAAGAG
This is a long non-coding RNA of Eriocheir sinensis (Chinese mitten crab), 9354 nucleotides long. RefSeq lists it as uncharacterized. NCBI's taxonomy places the organism in Eukaryota, Metazoa, Arthropoda, Malacostraca, Decapoda, Varunidae. The record is from RefSeq and is a predicted model, not a curated record. The transcript is spliced from 2 exons.